This 217-nucleotide long non-coding RNA is filed under the name Elaeis guineensis (African oil palm). RNAcentral describes it as "long non-coding RNA (EGUI_LNC045230)". The record is from RNAcentral. Lineage: Eukaryota; Viridiplantae; Streptophyta; Magnoliopsida; Arecales; Arecaceae.
GGGUACAGUCAAGUACUUGUGAAGUCUGUAUGUAGAUCAAGAUGGGAUUGAUCCCUCUAAAUUAUUGAAGUUGAUAUAUCACUAUAUUUUAAUUUAGCAAAGUCUUAGCUAGGAUAAUCUAUGAGAUAGAUUUGAAAGGUUGAAAUGCAAUACGGAUGAAGCAAUCUCGAUUGAUAGUUAACCUGAGACCAUCUUAGAACAUCCAGGGUCAAAAAGA